This 373-nucleotide long non-coding RNA is filed under the name Pongo abelii (Sumatran orangutan). Its description in RNAcentral is "lincRNA". The record is from RNAcentral. Lineage: Eukaryota; Metazoa; Chordata; Mammalia; Primates; Hominidae.
CUGGUUUUGAAGAUGGAGAAAAUGGGUGAUGAACUAAGAAACAUGGAUGGCCUUGGGAACCUGGAAAAGGGUCACUGAAAUGCGAUGAUGUGAAUUCAAGGAGGCUAUUUAUGACCAUGUCAUUUGCAACAUGAAGAAAGCUUAUCUGGAGUGAAAGUAAGUGAGACCAACAGGGAUAAGAGACCCAGAGAAAUCUUAGUUACACUGCUUGAAUCCUACACAUACUAACAAAAGGCCACAUGAGGACACAGUGAGAAGUUGGAAGUCUACAACCCAGAAGAGAGCCCUUAACAGAACCUAACCAUGCUGGUACCCUGAUCUCAGACAUCCAGCCUCCAGAAGAGUGAAAAAAUGUAAUUCUUAUUUCUAAGCA